AACAGGAGCCCUAGCAUGGACUUCCCAAAUAUCUUCCCAAUCUGUACCCUCUUUAGCAGCUCAUCCCUCUCCAUGUGAGCGACUUAGACCACGGAGCCAGAGUAAAAAGACGCUGUUGUGUAAGGUGCAGACAAUUCCCUUUGGGAUUGUGCCAGGUAGAGGUCUUCAAAUCACAUAGGCAGAGCAAGGGCACCUUUUUUUUAUCAGUUAAG
Pelobates cultripes (western spadefoot toad) is the source of this 212-nucleotide non-coding RNA. NCBI's taxonomy places the organism in Eukaryota, Metazoa, Chordata, Amphibia, Anura, Pelobatidae. The record is from the annotation of a GenBank genome assembly.